UGACCCACCUUCCAUUCUGACACUUUCAUGAUGUCAUGGCUUAAAUUAUUCCAUGGGUGUAUCUGCCCAGAUAGACAGUGAGUUCUUUAAGGACAACUACCCUGUUGAAUUCACUUGUGAAUUCUAAACCUGUGCAGAGUCAACUUUCUGUAGAUAAUGCCUGAACAAAAAAGUUAAUCAAUACAAACAACCAGCCCCAGAGCCUUGCUGAUGGGAGAGGCUGCCCUCCCCCAGGAUCAGCUGUGUCACAGGGCACAGGCCCGAGGAGAUGGGCCUCCAGGCAGAAGGCAGCAAUGGAGGAGCUGGAUGAAUCCCCAAAAUAAAAAAGAAAAAAAUGGACAAGUCAUAAAGUUUCAGCCAAUACCAAGGCAGGAAAUGUUGGGUGUUUACAAAGGGCUGGCCCUCCCACAGUGAGCUGCAUCUAUUUUCUGCCACUCUGCUGGCUUCCCCACAAAGGGAAGGGGCGGCCAGGCCAUGAGUCCUGUGUCCAGCAUAAGGAGAGCACCAAACAUGGGGUGCAUGACACAAGGAGAUCCUGAGAAUCCCCUCCUGCUUCUCUGUGUGUGACUGUGCUGUAAGAGAUGAGGAUGAGAGGGAAGGAAAUUGAGACAGGAGACCUUAGGUUUAUGGUAUAAAUCCACAGCAGAAUCUUGGGUAAAUGAUGCUGAAUUCUUAGAGAAAACUUUCAUCAUGUACCAAAUAGAGUCAUUUUUGCUCCUAACAGAGAUCGUCUGUCCUUAGGGCAGCCUGACUCCACACCUCUGCUUUGCCAGGGGAUUUCAGGUCCUUCCUCAAUUCUGGAAAGACCCUGGGAGCCUCCUCGUGGGACUGCCCUCCGCAAAGACCCUGGGAGCCUCCUCGUGGGACUGCCCUCCGCAGUCCUGCCCUCCCGCACAGCGGCCCUCCUGCUUUCAGAUAGACAGCCUCUUGCUCGGAAUCUGCUCCAGGGUGGAGAUUUAAAUUUGUCACGCCUCCCUAAGCCACUGGACCCCAAGGCCCAUCCCUGAUUGUUCCUUAGGGGAGCCAGAACUACUUGAGCCUGGGGCUCAGCAGCAGGGGUCUGAAUCCCUUCCCAGCCACUGCA
Molecule: non-coding RNA, 1084 nt
Organism: Microcebus murinus (gray mouse lemur)
Lineage: Eukaryota; Metazoa; Chordata; Mammalia; Primates; Cheirogaleidae
Source: RefSeq, a predicted model, not a curated record